This 506-nucleotide ribosomal RNA is filed under the name uncultured Synechococcus sp. Its description in RNAcentral is "bacterial SSU rRNA". It matches the Rfam family "Bacterial small subunit ribosomal RNA", at positions 29 to 562 of the family's 1533-position model. Lineage: Bacteria; Bacillati; Cyanobacteriota; Cyanophyceae; Synechococcales; Synechococcaceae. The record is from RNAcentral.
AGUAACGCUGGCGGCGUGCUUACACAUCGCAGUCGAACGAACCUUCGGGUUAGUGGCGGACGGGUGAGUAACGCGUGAGAAUCUGCCCUCAGGAGGGGGACCAACAGUUGGAAACGACUGCUAAUACCCCAUAUGCCCGCGAGGUGAAAUGAAUUUCGCCUGAGGAUGAGCUCGCGUCUGAUUAGCUAGUUGGUGUAAGUAAUGGCUCACCAAGCAUCGAUCAGUAGCUGGUCUGACACGAUGAUCAAGCCACACUGGGACUGAGACACGGCCAGAAUCCUACGGGACAGCAGCAGUGGGGAAUUUUCCGCAAUGGGCGAAAGCCUGACCGGAGCAACUGCCGCGUGAGAGGAUGAAGUGCCUCUGGGCUGUAAACUCUUUUAUCACAGGGAAGAAAGAUCUGACGAGUAACUUGAUGAAUAAUGCCACGGCCUAAUUCCCGUGCCCACCAGCCGCCGGUGAAUACGAGGAGAUGGCGAAGCGUUAUCCGGAAUUAUUUGGGCGUA